Molecule: ribosomal RNA, 402 nt
Filed under: uncultured prokaryote
Description: bacterial SSU rRNA
Rfam family: Bacterial small subunit ribosomal RNA
Source: RNAcentral
UGGGGAAUAUUGGACAAUGGGCGAAAGCCUGAUCCAGCCAUGCCGCGUGAGUGAUGAAGGCCCUAGGGUUGUAAAGCUCUUUCAACGGUGAAGAUAAUGACGGUAACCGUAGAAGAAGCCCCGGCUAACUUCGUGCCAGCAGCCGCGGUAAUACGAAGGGGGCUAGCGUUGUUCGGAAUUACUGGGCGUAAAGCGCACGUAGGCGGAUACUUAAGUUAGGGGUGAAAUCCCGGGGCUCAACCCAGGAACUGCCUCUAAUACUGGGUAUCUCGAGUUCGAGAGAGGUGAGUGGAAUUCCGAGUGUAGAGGUGAAAUUCGUAGAUAUUCGGAGGAACACCAGUGGCGAAGGCGGCUCACUGGCUCGAUACUGACGCUGAGGUGCGAAAGCGUGGGGAGCAAACA